UACGUGGGGGGCAAGCGUUGUUCGGAAUCACUGGGCGUAAAGGGCUCGUAGGUGGCCUGCUAAGUCAGACGUGAAAUCCCUCAGCUUAACUGGGGAACUGCGUCUGAGACUGGUGAGCUUGAGUGCAGGAGAGGAACGCGGAAUUCCAGGUGUAGCGGUGAAAUGCGUAGAUAUCUGGAGGAACACCGGUGGCGAAGGCGGCGUUCUGGACUGCUACUGACACUGAGGAACGAAAGCCAGGGGAGCAAACGGG
RNAcentral lists this ribosomal RNA (253 nucleotides) under uncultured bacterium. RNAcentral's name for it is "partial 16S ribosomal RNA". It matches the Rfam family "Bacterial small subunit ribosomal RNA", at positions 524 to 776 of the family's 1533-position model. The record is from RNAcentral.